This is a long non-coding RNA of Papaver somniferum (opium poppy), 1418 nucleotides long. RefSeq lists it as uncharacterized. Lineage: Eukaryota; Viridiplantae; Streptophyta; Magnoliopsida; Ranunculales; Papaveraceae. The record is from RefSeq and is a predicted model, not a curated record. The transcript has 3 exons.
CAGGCGCGCACCCAUUAUCUGAGAAAAAAUUUCUCACAAACCCAUAUUUAUUAAAAUUAGGUUAUUCCUUCUUCCACGCCCAGAAAAGUUCUGUGAUUUCCUUCUCGAGGAGUAUUGUUUCUGCGAUGUAGUUUUGGUUUUUCGAGUAAACAUUACUUCGUGAUUAUUUCCUUGCUACUUCCUACGCCGGGACUACUUUGUUCUUCUACGAAUGAUGUUGGGGGAUCAAUUCCAAGCCUUCCUCUUUCGGCUGCAAGGAUUUCUUCUUUUGGGUAUAUUUGCAAAACCCUAAAUGAAAUCGAGAUUUUGAAAUUAAACUGAUUUGUGGUGGAAGUAACAAUGAGGAGUUGAUUAGUGUUCCUUGCAUAUCUUCUCUGAUAACCCCUAACAGCUCUGUGGAGACUAAAGCAAGAGCACCUAUUGGGUUUUCCACUUUUCUGCCAAAUAGUUGAUUAAUAUCUCCUUAUUACAUCUGAAAUUGAGGCAGACGAAAUCGAGAAAGAAAUGGGCAGAGAGAGCUGCUGAUGAAGAUGUGAAGUUGUUUCUAUCAGAGAACAUCAAUAAGAGUUGGUUCGUUUUGAGAUGAAGAAGAAAACACCUGAUUCUGAUGCCGCUGAAGCUAGGGUUUGGUGUUCUUGAGAGAAUCAGAUAGAGAUGAAUGUUAAGUUCCAGAGACUAGAGAAAUGUGGUAUGUGCUUGAAGGGUUCAGAUCGAGAAUUGGACAUGGAUUUGAUGCAGAGACGAAGAAUUGGGGUUAGGGUCUAGCCGAUUAAACAAAGAAGAAGACUUGCUGCUGAAAUACGAUGAUUAUGCACUGUACAAUGAUUUGGGAACCGACCGUCCCAUUCUCGGAAAUUCAACUGAGUUACCUUACCCUCGGCGAGGAAGGACGGGGCGAAAACCAGACAAAAAAGAUCCGAAUUACGAAACUCGCUUGGUUAUAUUGAACCUGAACAUAUACAUUCCAAGAGAUGAAAAAUUUAGUCGGUUGAAGUUCUCGGACUUUUUAGCUUAUGCGGUGAAAGCACUGGGUCAUGUCGUUCGUCCAGAAAUUAAAGCAAUAUUUGACAAAACACCUAAUGAAUUCGAUAGCUUCGACGAAGUGAUGCAUCUUUACGAAGGAUACCAGGGACAGGAAGUUAAUCAAACUGGAGAUUCCCAUUUGUUGACAUCAAAUUGGAGCCUCAGCUUAGAGUUUGUUAAAGAACUCUUUCGUUCUGACGGCGAAAACCCCCUCAAAUUCCCAUUUCUUCUUCAUUACUAAUUAUGUGGUUAUUAUAAUUAUACAUGCAGUCCAUAUCUUCAUGGAAAAACUUGUUGCAAGGAGAUAAGUUGUUUGAUUGCAUAACAUGUCAAGAUCAGAUUUGGUUUUUAGUCUGUUGGGUGUUGUUUUAAGUUGUUAUGCAACUAUGAAAAUG